AGAGUUUGAUCAUGGCUCAGGACGAACGCUGGCGGCGUGCCUAACACAUGCAAGUCGAACGGAGCUAAUUAGAGGAAGUUUUCGGAUGGAAUUUGGUUAGCUUAGUGGCGGACGGGUGAGUAACGCGUGAGCAACCUGCCUUUCAGAGGGGGAUAACGUCUUGAAAAGGACGCUAAUACCGCAUAACAUUAACUUCCCGCAUGGGGGGAUAAUCAAAGGAGCAAUCCGCUGAAAGAUGGGCUCGCGCCCGAUUAGCCAGUUGGCGGGGUAGAGGCCCACCAAAGCGACGAUCGGUAGCCGGACUGAGAGGUUGAACGGCCACAUUGGGACUGAGACACGGCCCAGACUCCUACGGGAGGCAGCAGUGGGGGAUAUUGCACAAUGGGGGAAACCCUGAUGCAGCAACGCCGCGUGUGGGAAGACGGUUUUCGGAUUGUAAACCACUGUCCUAUGGGAAGAUAAUGACGGUACCAUAGGAGGAAGCUCCGGCUAACUACGUGCCAGCAGCCGCGGUAAUACGUAGGGAGCAAGCGUUGUCCGGAAUUACUGGGUGUAAAGGGUGCGUAGGCGGGCUUGCAAGUCAGCCGUGAAAUCCCGGGGCUUAACCCCGUGGACUGCGGUAGAAACUGUGAGUCUUGAGUGAAGUAGAGGUAGGCGGAAUUCCCGGUGUAGCGGUGAAAUGCGUAGAGAUCGGGAGGAACACCAGUGGCGAAGGCGGCCUACUGGGCUUUAACUGACGCUGAGGCACGAAAGUGUGGGUAGCAAACAGGAUUAGAUACCCUGGUAGUCCACACCGUAAACGAUGAUUACUAGGUGUGGGGGGACUGACCCCCUCCGUGCCGG
This 843-nucleotide ribosomal RNA is filed under the name uncultured bacterium. RNAcentral describes it as "bacterial SSU rRNA". It matches the Rfam family "Bacterial small subunit ribosomal RNA", at positions 8 to 849 of the family's 1533-position model. The record is from RNAcentral.